This 315-nucleotide unclassified non-coding RNA is filed under the name Malassezia sp. RNAcentral describes it as "partial contains 5.8S ribosomal RNA, internal transcribed spacer 2, and large subunit ribosomal RNA". Lineage: Eukaryota; Fungi; Basidiomycota; Malasseziomycetes; Malasseziales; Malasseziaceae. The record is from RNAcentral.
AACGCACCUUGCGCCCUUUGGCUAUUCCGAAGGGCAUGCCUGUUUGAGUAUCAUGAACACCUCAACUCUCAUGGUUUUCCAUAGAGAGCUUGGAAUUUGGAGGUCUUUGCUGGCCUGUGGUCAGCUCCUCUCAAAUGAAUCAGCUUGCCAGUGUUUGGUGGCGUCACAAGUGUGAUAACUAUCUACGCUUGUGGUUUUCUGCCAGAUGACCUUCAGCGAUGGAGGUCCACUGGAGCUCACAAAUGUCCCUCCCCAGUGAGGACAGCUCUUUGAAUGUUUGAUCUCAAAUCAGGUAGGACUACCCGCUGAACUUAA